CUACGGGAGGCACCAGUCAAGAAUCUUCCUCAAUGGACGAAAGUCUGAAGGAGCAAUGCCGCGUGAUCGAUGAAGCUUUUCGGAGUGUAAAGAUCUUUUAUCAAGGACGAAUUCGUGACGGUACUUGAUGAAUAAGUCACUGCUAACUACGUGCCAGCAGCAGCGGUAAUACGUAGGUGGCGAGCGUUACCCGGAUUGAUUGGGCGUAAAGGGUCCGCAGGCGGUUUGAACAGUCAUUGGUCAAAUCUUGAGGCUUAACUUCAAGACUGCUAAUGAUACUUUCAAACUAGAGACUGGGAGAGGCAAACGGAAUUGCCGGUGUAGUAGUAAAAUGCGUUGAUAUCGGUAGGAACACCAAAAGCGAAGGCAGUUUGCUAGAACAGUUCUGACGCUCAGGGACGAAAGCAUGGGUAGCGAAUGGGAUUAGAUACCCCCGUAGUC
This 441-nucleotide ribosomal RNA is filed under the name uncultured bacterium. Its description in RNAcentral is "partial 16S ribosomal RNA". It matches the Rfam family "Bacterial small subunit ribosomal RNA", at positions 339 to 795 of the family's 1533-position model. The record is from RNAcentral.